Molecule: ribosomal RNA, 458 nt
Filed under: uncultured bacterium
Lineage: Bacteria
Description: partial 16S ribosomal RNA
Rfam family: Bacterial small subunit ribosomal RNA
Source: RNAcentral
CCUACGGGUGGCAGCAGUGGGGAAUAUUGCACAAUGGGGGAAACCCUGAUGCAGCGACGCCGCGUGAGUGAAGAAGUAAUUCGUUACGUAAAGCUCUAUCAGCAGGGAAGAAAAACUGACCUUACGGUCAGCAGACGGUACCUGAGUCAGAAGCCCCGGCUAACUACGUGCCAGCAGCCGCGGUAAUACGGAGGGGGCAAGCGUUAUCCGGAGUUACUGGGUGUAAAGGGAGCGUAGACGGUGGGCCAAGUCUGGAGUGAAAUGCCGCGGCUUAACUGCGGAACUGCUUUGGAAACUGGUGAACUAGAGUGCGGGAGUGGUAGGCGGAAUGCCUGGUGUAGCGGUGAAAUGCGUAGAUAUUAGGAGGAACACCGGUGGCGAAGGCGGCUUACUGGACCGUAACUGACGUUGAGGCUCGAAAGCGUGGGGAGCAAACAGGAUUAGAUACCCGGGUAGUC